Molecule: long non-coding RNA, 1213 nt
Organism: Exaiptasia diaphana
Lineage: Eukaryota; Metazoa; Cnidaria; Anthozoa; Actiniaria; Aiptasiidae
Exons: 3
Source: RefSeq, a predicted model, not a curated record
UAAGCUACUUGAGGCCGAAUUCACGGAGUCCGAAAUCGAAAGACAUAACAAAUGUAAUUUCACACAGUUAUUCGUUUACACCCUUAACAUUCUGGCCGGGGGGUAGGGGGGAGGUAGCUUGAAGGCUCCAAUGACUUCCCUUCUAAAAGCUCCGUAUGCAUGGCUAUCUUUUACGUAAGCGGAACUCGGAGAGUGUAAUCGUUCGAGAAUACAAGAUCACGGAUACACUGUAUCUAUACAAUAAUUUACCAGUUUGUCAGAAUGAGAUUGGUUCUUUGAGCGCGUUUAGUGCUAAUUUUAGUUGUUUAUAGUGAUGAUGACUUUCACAUAUCCUUGCGUUUCUAUAACAUCACGUUUCCAUAACGACUUAUUUUUCAGAAGUAAAAGUAUAUUACCUUCUAAUGAUUUUUCGUGAAAAAAAAAAACGCGUCAAAAUGUGAAACAAAAUACCGAAAUAAAAAAACAAGAGUACUAUAUCAGUGGCGAUACGCAGACCGCGAGUUGAGCCCCGCUAAUCGCUGAAUCUACUCGCUGACAGMAUACARAUCGGAGCUACACCUAAAAGUGUUUGACAAGUGUAAACAAAAAAACAAGCGAACGUCAGCUACGGAAAAACCCCGGACGUGACGCAGGCGACGGAGUAAGGAUGAUGUCGCUCAUCCUGUUGCCAAGAUGAAAAAGCCAGGGAAAAAGCCAGCUUAUUUGACAAAAAAGACGAUUUUCGUGGCAUUGAGAUUUGAAUAGAGCGGACUGCCUAUAGUCAUUGUAUUGAGACCUUGGUGCAUAGAAGCGUGGAAAGUACACGUGCCAGACUUGAAAUUCUUAUGUUUUACUGACAAGACUAAACAAUGAACAACAGCCAUCCUCAACUUCACAGAAAAAAAAAAUCAAAUCACGCUCUUCUCGUAAUCAAUUAAUACUCCACGAAUAAAAUCACGAAGAAUUCUAAUGACACUUUAGUGGUUCUGGAUUACUUUUACAAGGGCCUCUGUGUUCGUCUCAUUGAUAUUUGAAUCUGUAUAAAUUGUACAAUGUAUAUUAUUGUUCCUGGUCAAGUUUGGAUCAUAAUUAAAAAAAAACCCGAAAAAUGUAAAGUUCAAUUGCUAUUUCUAGAAUAAUUUCGAGGUUAAAUGACUGUGAAGCCCUAAACGUUUAGUGCGAUGUGUGUAGAAAUAUAACGCUUUGUUUAGAAUUAAAAUUACUGUCAGCUGUA